This 484-nucleotide ribosomal RNA is filed under the name uncultured bacterium. Its description in RNAcentral is "partial 16S ribosomal RNA". It matches the Rfam family "Bacterial small subunit ribosomal RNA", at positions 29 to 507 of the family's 1533-position model. The record is from RNAcentral.
AUUGAACGCUGGCGGCAUGCUUUACACAUGCAAGUCGAACGGCAGCGCGGGCUUCGGGCUGGCGGCGAGUGGCGAACGGGUGAGUAAUGCAUCGGAACGUGCCCAGUAGUGGGGGAUAGCCCGGCGAAAGCCGGAUUAAUACCGCAUACGACCUGAGGGUGAAAGCGGGGGACCGAAAGGCCUCGCGCCAUUGGAGCGGCCGAUGUCGGAUUAGCUAGUUGGUGGGGUAAAGGCUUACCAAGGCGACGAUCCGUAGCUGGUCUGAGAGGAAGACCAGCCACACUGGGACUGAGACACGGCACAGACUCCUACGGGAGGCCGCAGUGGGGAAUUUUGGACGAUGGGGGCAACCCUGAUCCAGCCAUGCCGCGUGCGGGAAGAAGGCCUUCGGGUUGUAAACCGCUUUUGUUCGGGAAGAAAUCCUCUGGGCUAAUACCACGGGGGGAUGACGGUACCGGAAGAAUAAGCACCGGCUAACUACGUG